AGUGAACGCUGGCGGUAGGCCUAACACAUGCAAGUCGAACGGCAGCACAGUAAGAGCUUGCUCUUACGGGUGGCGAGUGGCGGACGGGUGAGGAAUACAUCGGAAUCUACUUUUUCGUGGGGGAUAACGUAGGGAAACUUACGCUAAUACCGCAUACGACCUACGGGUGAAAGCAGGGGAUCUUCGGACCUUGCGCGAUUGAAUGAGCCGAUGUCGGAUUAGCUAGUUGGCGGGGUAAAGGCCCACCAAGGCGACGAUCCGUAGCUGGUCUGAGAGGAUGAUCAGCCACACUGGAACGUAGACACGGUCCAGACUCCUACGGGAGGCAGCAGUGGGGAAUAUUGGACAAUGGGCGCAAGCCUGAUCCAGCCAUACCGCGUGGGUGAAGAAGGCCUUCGGGUUGUAAAGCCCUUUUGUUGGGAAAGAAAAGCAGCAGGUUAAUACCCCGCUGUUCUGACGGUACCCAAAGAAUAAGCACCGGCUAACUUCGUG
This 492-nucleotide ribosomal RNA is filed under the name uncultured bacterium. RNAcentral describes it as "partial 16S ribosomal RNA". It matches the Rfam family "Bacterial small subunit ribosomal RNA", at positions 29 to 507 of the family's 1533-position model. The record is from RNAcentral.